Molecule: ribosomal RNA, 468 nt
Filed under: uncultured bacterium
Lineage: Bacteria
Description: partial 16S ribosomal RNA
Rfam family: Bacterial small subunit ribosomal RNA
Source: RNAcentral
GACGAGCGCUGGCGGCGUGCUUAACACAUGCAAGUCGAACGGAAAGGCCCUGCUUGUGUGGGGUGCUCGAGUGGCGAACGGGUGAGUAACACGUGAGUAACCUGCCCUUGACUUUGGGAUAACUUCAGGAAACUGGGGCUAAUACCGGAUAGGAGCUCCUGCUGCAUGGUGGGGGUUGGAAAGUUUCGGCGGUUGGGGAUGGACUCGCGGCUUAUCAGCUUGUUGGUGGGGUAGUGGCUUACCAAGGCUUUGACGGGUAGCCGGCCUGAGAGGGUGACCGGCCACAUUGGGACUGAGAUACGGCCCAGACUCCUACGGGAGGCAGCAGUGGGGAAUAUUGCACAAUGGGCGGACGCCUGAUGCAGCAACGCCGCGUGCGGGAUGACGGCCUUCGGGUUGUAAACCGCUUUCGCCUGUGACGAAGCGUGAGUGACGGUAAUGGGUAAAGAAGCACCGGCUAACUACGUG